UCCCCACUCAGCCAACCACCGAGACCACAACCACCUCCUCCCACCUCAGGAUCCUCCCAGAUCACCAUCGUCAAACCCACACACCUCGCCGAUCUCCGCUGCUCUUCGCUUCCCAACCGGUGCCAACCACCGAGACCAUAGCCAGACCUCUCCUGCUCCUUUCCUUCUCCUUCCCUGCCUCUACUCCCUCCUCUCACAUCUCUCUCUUUCUCUCUGUACAGCUGCAACAGGGAGCACGCCAGGCGCCAUGGCCGCCGAAGGAACUCCGCCGCCUCACCGAAUCCACGCCUCCAUCUCUCCCCUGCAUCAAGGUCGCCAUCCCUGCUGGACCUGCAGGACGCCAAGUCCAACACCAUGGGCACCUGCUCUGCCCGAUCCCGCCUCUGUCUCGACUUCGCCGUGCUCCUCCUCUGCCCCGAGCCUCUGCCGUGACCAGCACCGGAGCAGCAGGGCCGCCAGCGCGCCCGUUGCCUCCUCCUCGCGCGCCUGCCGCCCUCGCCUUCUCUCUUCUUCCCCUUUUUCGUUCGGCUUCUUUGAUUAAAUCUCUCUCUCUCUCCCUGUCCUUGCCUCGAACAGGAGCACCAGCCGGCGCAACCAUCAUCGGAGAUGGGCUCCCGCAGGCCGAAUCCGACGCGGCCCGUGUCCUCGCCCUCGUCCCCGCCUCCAGGGUGCCGCACCGCCCACAGGAGACCACCUGCGUUGUCCGCCAAGUCCCUGCCGCCCCUGCAUCCCCUGCAAUGAGCUGGAGCUCGCCCGAUGCCACCUCGCCUCCCUGACCCGAUUGGACACCAGAUCCGGCCAUCUCCGACGCAUACCCGCCGGUUCCCGUCGCCAGAACCUCCCCGGCGCCUGUGUCGCCCUGAACCUGUCGCUACAGUUUUCCUUCAGAACGAGAAGAGCAACUCACCGCCCCGCUCGACUGGAUUGACCGCACCUCCAUGCGCCUGGGAUGCCUCCUCUUUGUUCGUUGACCGAGGCCCAGUCCCCACCUCCAUACAUCUAGGCCUUUGGCCCAUGGUGAGCAGCACCCGAGCCCCUGUGCAAUGUUGGGUCGUCCUCUGUUUCGGCCCAUAGGUUUUUUUUUCUUUGUGCGAUUUUAUCAUUUUCGAGAGAUUGUGGUUUUUACAGAAAAGCCCCUGUUCUUCAUGCAUUUAAUAACUUCACAACCGUGCAUCGGAUCUAAAUAAAUUAUAUAUGAAAGUUGCUUAGAAUUUUGUCUAGUUUAAUAAUAUGCAACUUUCAUUCAUGUUUGAAAUGUUUAAAAUGAUGUUUGAUUAAAUUUGCUCCUAUGUCAUGUUAAAAUGCUUUAAUUCAUAACUAAAUAAUCGUAGCUCCAAACUUAACAAACUUUAUAUGUAAAUGGGGUUGAAAAAUGCCUAGUUUAACAUGGUGGCAUCACUUCGCAUGUUUAACAACCCUAAAAUUGUGUUUAGGGCAGAACAGUACCAAACCUAAUAUUUGCAUAUGGGGAUUUACCGGAAUUGUUGUUCGUUGCUUCCGGCCUCAUUUAAACUUGCCUAGGUAGAUAGUUUCAUUAUGCUUCACCUCUUGCCAUGCUAACAGCAUUUAAUCUUGUUGGGUACAUAACCGAGAGAGAACUAAAUUAAUGAAUGUGGUGUUUCGUCAAUAUGCAACGAGCAACUCGUUGCAUAUUGAUCUCCACUUAAUUUGUAGAAUUGCUUGUGCACUUUGCCAUGCCAUGCUUCAUUAAACCGGACAUGCAUCAUACUUGAUUGUGCAUCAUGCCAUGUUUAUGUGGUGGAUGUUUUACUAUGUUGUUUGCUUCUUUCCGGUGUUGCUUCUUCGGGUUGGUUCCAAUAACGUCGUGUGUGUGAGGAUCCGUUUGUCUAUGUCCAUUUGUCUUCUUCAUGGACUCGUUCUUCUUCCUUGCGGGAUCUCAGGCAAGAUGACCAUACCCUCGAAAUCACUUCUAUCUUUGCUUGCUAGUUGCUCGCUCUUUUGCUAUGCCUAUGAUGUGAUACCUACCACUUGCUUAUCAUGCCUCCCAUAUUGUUGAACCAAGCCUCUAACCCACCUUGUCCUAGCAAACCGUUGUCUGGCUAUGUUACCACUUUGCUCAGCCCCUCUUAUAGUAUUGUUAGUUCCAGGUGAAGAUUGAAGCUUGUUCCAUGUUUGGAACAUGGAUAUUCUUGUUGGGAUAUCACACUAUCUCUUAUUUAAUUAAUGCAUCUAUAUACUUGGUAAAGGGUGGAAGGCUCGGCCUUAUGCCUGGUGUUUUGUUCCACAAUUGUCGCCCUAGUUUCCAUCAUAUCAGUGUUAAGUUACCGGAUUUUGCGUUCCUUACGCGGUUGGGUUAUAAUGGGAACCCCUUGACAGUUCGCCUUGAAUAAAACUCCUCCAGCAAUGCCCAACAUUGGUUUUACCAUUCGCCACCUAGCCUUUUUUCCCUUGGGUUCUGCAGACUCAAGGGUCAUCUUUAUUUAAACCCCCCCUGGGGCCAGUGCUCCUCUGAGUGUUGGUCCAAACAAAGCCACUUGCAGCGCCACCUCGGGGAAACUCGAGGGCUGGUUUUAGUUGUACGUAGUGCUCAUCUGAGUGUGCCCUGAGAACGAGAUAUGUGCAGCUCCUAUCGGGAUUUGUCGGCACAUUUGGGCGGUGUUGCUGGACUUGUUUUACCAUUGUCCAAAUGUCUUGUAACCGGGAUUCCGGGUCUGAUCGGGUCUUCCCACUAGAAGGAAUAUCCUUCGUUGACCGUUAGAGCUUGUGAUGGGCUAAGUUGGGACACCCCUGCAGGGUUUUGGACUUUCGACAGCCGUGCCCGCGGUUAUGGGCAGAUGGGAAUUUGUGAAUGUCCGGUUGUAGAAAACCUGAAGUUGACCUUAAUUAAAAUACAUCAACCGCGUGUGUAACCGUGAUGGUCUCUUUCCAGCGGAGUCCGGGAAGUGAACACGGUGUUGGAGUUAUGCUUGACGUAGGUUGUUUUAGGAUCACUUCUUGAUUAUAGUUGUUCGACCGUGCUUUUGCCUUCCCUUCUCGCUCUCAUUUUCGUAUGUUAGCCACCAUAUAUGCUAGUCGCUUGCUGCAGCUCCACCUCAUACCUUUUACCUUACCUAUGAGCUUAAAUAGUCUUGAUCGCGAGGGUGUGAGAUUGCUGAGUCCCGGUGACUCGCAGAUACUUCCAAAACCAGUUUGCAGGUGCCGAUGUUACCGAGCAGGUGACGCAACCAAGCUCAAGGAGGAGCUCGAUGAAGAUCUUGUCCUUUAUGUUGAUCCGCUUCCAGUUGAUCAGUAGUGGAGCCCAGUUGGGGUCGAUCGGGGAUCUGUGUAGCUUUUGGGGUAGUCUUUUUUAUUUUGGUUCCGUAGUCGGACCUUGAUUGUAUCUGGUUGAUGUAAUGCUUUAUUCAUGUAUUUGUGUGAAGUGGCGAUUGUAAGCCAACUAUGUAUCUCUUUCCCUUAUGUAUUACAUGGGUUGUGUGAAGAUUACCUCACUUGCGACAUUGCUUUCAAUGCGGUUAUGCCUCUAAGUCGUCCUUCGACACGUGGGAGAUAUAGCCGCAUUGAGGGCGUUAUAAGUUGGUAAUCAGAGCCUUCCCCGACCUUAGGAGCCCCCUGCUUGAUCGAAUCGCUGGCGUUAUUGAGUCUAGAAAUGUUUUGAGUCAUUUAGGAUUAUAUAUAUCGGAGAGUUAGGAAUUCUUCUUACUCCUCAGUCCCUUCGUCGCUCUGGUGAGGCAUCCUGACGUAGAGUUUUGACUCUUCUCUUCUGAAAUUUCACUAAAAAAAAUUUAGGAUCACACGGGUAUCUUGGAAUCGUUCCGAUGGUUUUGUGACGAGAACAUUGUUCUUGGUGCCUCCUGUCAUUUAGGGGAUGUGGCAGUGUCCCGGGGAGUUGAGCUCCGAGGUGUUGUCGUCACAAUUUUAUCGUUGCAGUUCUGGAAUACCUGAGUUUAGGUUCGCCGACAUCGAAAAUCUCUUUUAUGUAGUUGUUGGUGAGAUAACCUCGACGCCAGCCAGUACUGAGUUCGGGAGUAUUGCCAUAACUCGUAUGACAGAUGCUUUUCGAAGGUUGACAUAAAUGAUUUCUGAAGGUUUCUUGGUUAUGUGUUGAAGGAUGGAUACAACUGGAUGUAGGAUUUGCUAGUUUUGGGUGAGAUAUUAUGCUUCCCCUGUAUCCCCAACACCUGAUUGCAUAACCGGAAAAUUUCGGGAGUUUAUAAGUGGGAAUUCAAGUAGCUCUUAGGAUAUCUUUCCGACAGAUGUAUGAUAUGAAAUUGGGGUUCGACGUCUAGUGGUCCGCCUAUCCACGGUUGGUUUUACAGUGGUCUCAUUGUGUCUUAAAGAGUCCUUGGCUAUGCCGACUCGGGGACGCUUCGUAUGUCAUGUGCACUGCCUUGUACACGAUGGUGCUAUACGAUCGAGCCCAUGUAGGCCCCACCACAAAAACUUCGGACGAAAUCUCUAUCAUAUGUUUGUUCCGGCUUAUUCUGCAAGCCAAUCCUUUGUUUUUGUUUUGAGUUGUGGUAUUCGAGUUGCUUCGAAGUCAAAUGUGGAUUCCAUACCUUCUCUAAAUGGUGUUCUCAUACUCCGAUGUGAAUACUAAUCCUUCUUGAUAAUCGAGAUUGUCAUGUCAAUCCUUUUUCACUAGCGUGUUUCUCUUCAAGUGGAUCCGAUCACUUCAACAUUCGCAAGAUCAAGUAUCAGUUCUUCUCAACGGUGUUUGUUUCAUCCGUCUCUAAGUUGCCUUUGUUUUUCCCACCCACCCACCCUUUUUCCUCAAGGACUCGGAUUUCUUAAUCAAGUAUCCUUUUAUUCAUGUGAAGUCUCUCCAUUCCUUUUCCGUCAAUGUUCUUACCCGACGAUUCUCAUGAAGAUUCUAAUGGAGCUUCAAGCUCAUCAUUCUCGGUUUUCUUUCUUCUCUGGUUGGUUCAAUUCAAGCGUUGGUUUUGACCAUAGUCCUUCCGUUUUGCCCAAUACCUUCUCUUGUCGGUGCACCUCUAAAUCAUUAACUUUUCGUUAUUCAUUUGUUCCGGAGUGCUUAAGAUAUCUCGAAGAUUCAUGUAUCCACUCUUCUUUCAUUCAAGCUAUUUCGAGGAUGUUAUAUCAUUCAAGCAUUUUUAUUCAACCGGUGCAUUCUCCUUUUCAAGUAAUCUUUUCAACGGUGUUUCUUCUGAGUGGGCCCUAACCCACAGGUCUUUUCCCAGGAUCUUACCGGACUCUUCUUAUUUUCUCGGAGCUAUCCGUAAAAAUUCUUUUCGAAGUUUGACGUAAGAAUGGAUUAUCAUCAGUCUCAUGUUUUUCUCCAAGAUCUGUCGAAUUCUUUUCAUCGUUGGAUCAACCUCUUCGUUGUGAUACUUCCGGAGUGUCUGAAUAAUUCAUGGUGGUGUUUCUCGUUGUAAUUCUUAGAUUAUGAAGACCGAAGAGGAAUUUUCUCUUAAUCUUGCUCCAUUCUCUUCAAGAUUCGUGGUUCUAGUUCAAGGCCAUCCUCUCAUAAUUGUUUUCGAUUGUCAAGAUUCUUUUCACCCACCCGGAGUAAUCCAGAGUAUUUUCAGUUUGAUUCUCCGGAGCCCAUCAUCUCAUAAGUAUUCAUUCUCAGCUUUCAGCUCUCUUUCUCUAAAUCUUACCGGUGCAUAGUUCAAGUGAUCUCUAAUCAGUUCAUGAUCUCUUCGUUCUCAUGUAUCUAGAUUGUCUCAAGUAUGUUUGUUCAUUUGCUUAUUCUUACCGGUGAUUCAUCCUUUUAUUUCAUUCGUUGUUUCAUCCUACCGGUGGUUCGUUGAAGACCUUCUCAAGUUAUGCUAUAUCUAUCUUAAUCCUUUUUACGGGGAUAAGUAGUGUGCCAAAUCCAUUGUUUGUCAUCAGUUUAAUUGAUGAAGGACAAUCAUAAUGUAAUUCUUAUUCUUGUUUCAUCCUAAUGAUUAAUUCUUUAUUCCGGAGGCCCUUCAAAUUCUCGGUUUCAUUUGUUUCAUCUUCUCUUUUUCCUGGAGUUCCAACCUCUUUCAAUUAUAUUAUCACGGAGAUCUCUAUCUAAAUCAUUGCGAGGCUUCAAUCUUAUUAUUUCCAUCAUUCAAUUAUUUUGGAUCAUUCUUUUAUUACCGGAGUUCUUCAUGAAGGUUCUACAUGAUGGAUUCAUCAAGGAUUUAAUUCCUUCUCGAAGUGUUCAUCGACAUUCUUUGCUAAGAAGCUCAAGUUUUUCUUCAUCUUGCUAUCCGGAGUGCAAUUCUUUCUUCCGAAUCAUUGGAGGUGGUAUUAUGUCAUUCUUGAUAAUUUGAGUUCAUGUUUCAUGAUUCACAUGUUAUUAAGAAUGAGGUAUUUUAAAUCCAUCAAUAUUGUCAUUGGAGUUACCUUGGGUUAUAUUUCACCUAAAGCUUUCCCUAAGGAUUGUUGUUAUCUAUGGUGCUUAUAAAUGAUCCAAUUUCUUCAUUUAUCCUUUCUGGUGCGACAUACUUUCUCGUCAAUUUGUUCAUAUAAAUCCAAUUCUUUUUCCGUGAGUGGCAGGUUGUCACCUCAUAAUUUGAGGUGUAUUCCAUAAGACCAUAUCAAGCUUAUCCUUUUCAUUGUUGGUUUUCCAACAAUUCCGUUCAACCCUUCUUUUAAGGAUGCUUUUCCAAAUUCUAUUGUGGUAGAAGAUGUCUUUUUCCUCUCAAUUCUUUCCUUUCCAAGAGCCAACUUCUAUUCUUUCUCCCGGAGGUCUAGUGAUGUUGCUCUUUUCACUCCUCAUCUCGGUUUGUCAAGAUCAUGUUCAAUUUCUUCCAUUUACAGUCAAAGUGCUGUCCAAAUUAUAUCAGUCUCUUUCCUUCUCUAUCUUGUUUAACCGGAGUGUUGUGCCCGUUUGCUCAAAUCCUUUUCAUCCUAUCAAGUCUUGUAUCUCUUUUCAACCGGAGUGCUAUAAGAAAUUGUUCUUCCUUGUUCCUCUUUACUAACGGGGUGUUUUCAACUUCGUUCAUCUCCGUUGUAUUCUUUCUUUCAAUUUGUUCAACUUUUCAAGGUUUCUUGGUUUCACUCGUUUGUCAAAGAAGCAACUUAGUUUUACCUCUCCUCUUUCUCUUCCGUUGUCCCUCCGGUGCCAUUCUAGAUCUCGGGACGAGAUCCUCUCAUAGUGGUGGAGUGUUGUAACGCCCCGAGACCGAUGUGCCAGGUGUCCUCCAGUUAUUCGCUGUUGUUGCCUUGUCUUUGCUUGCGUGUCAUGCAUUUCAUAUCAUGUCAUCAUGUGCAUUGCAUCAUCAGGUUUUCAAAACUUGCAUCCGUCCCGGUCUCCCCGUUCUUUCCGUUACCCGUUCUGAGCCCAGACACACUUGCACGCGCCCGCGGCACGUCCGAAAUAGUAUUUUAUAAGUGUCUGGAAAAUGUUCUCAGAAUGGGAUGAAAGUUGGCGUGCGGUGUUUUUAUGUUGUAGGUAGGCCGCCUGUCAAUUUUCGUCGCAUUCGGAGUUUGUUUGACGCCCCAACGGUUAACUAUAGCGGCAGUAUAGCCGGUCUAACGUCGGACGUUUUCGGUCUCCGGAAACAGUCGCCGGGCCUCCCUCUCUUCUCUUCUCUCAGCUCGAGACCGUCUAUACAGCUCACUACCUACCGCCAGGUCCAAUCUAACCUCUUUCAUCAGCCCGCAGCCCACCUCGCGCGCGUCCGAAAGUUGUCCCGAACCUGACCCGGACUGUCGCCACCUUUGUGUCCGGAUCAUCCCCAAACGUCUACAAAAUGUCUCCGUUUUGUUAAUUGGGCUUCCUAACCUAUAUUUUUCUCGACCGCCCGAUAACGAUCGGAUGGACCGUAUAGCCCCUAAACUUAAUCCCACCGAUAUAUAUAAGAGGACCAAACCCUAAAAUCUAUGGAGAUGUCCCAUCCAUCAAAUCCUCCGCCGCCACCACUGUUUUUCUCCCACCUCGGGAUCCCCUUCGCACCAACCACACACUACCUCUCAAUCCCCACUCAGCCAACCACCGAGACCACAACCACCUCCUCCCACCUCAGGAUCCUCCCAGAUCACCAUCGUCAAACCCACACACCUCGCCGAUCUCCGCUGCUCUUCGCUUCCCAACCGGUGCCAGCCACCGAGACCAUAGCCAGACCUCUCCUGCUCCUUUCCUUAUCCUUCCCUGCCUCUACUCCCUCCUCUCACAUCUCUCUCUUUCUCUCUGUACAGCUGCAACAGGGAGCAUGCCAGGCGCCAUGGCCACCGAAGGAACUCCACCGCCUCACCGAAUCCACGCCUCCAUCUCUCCCCUGCAUCAAGGUCGCCAUCCCUGCUGGACCUGCAGGACGCCAAGUCCAACGCCAUGGGCACCUCCUCUGCCCGAUCCCGCCUCUGUCUCGACUUCGCCGUGCUCCUCCUCUGCCCCGAGCCUCUGCCGUGACCAGCACCGGAGCAGCAGGGCCGCCAGCGCGCCCGUUGCAUCCUCCUCACGCGCCUGCCGCCCUCGCCUUCUCUCUUCUUCCCCUUUUUCGUUCGGCUUCUUUGAUUAACUCUCUCUCUCCCUGUCCUUGCCUCAAACAGGAGCACCAGCCGGUGCCACCAUCAUCGGAGAUGGGCUCCCGCCGGCCGAAUCCGACGUGGCCCGUGUCCUCGGCCUCGUUCCCGCCUCCAGGGCACCGCGCCGCCCACAAGAGACCACCUGCGCUGUCCGCCAAGUCCCUGCCGCCCCUGCAUCCCCUGCAACGAGCUGGAGCUCGCCCGAUGCCACCUCGCCUCCCUGACCCGAUUGGACACCAGAUCCGGCCAUCUCCGAUGCAUACCCGCCGGUUCCCGUCGACCCCGUCGCCAGAACCUCCCCGGCGCUUGCGUCGCCCUGAACCUGUCGCUGCAGGUUUCCUUCAGAAUGAGAAGAGCAGCUCACCACCCCGCUCGACCGGAUUGACCGCACCUCCACGCGCCUGGGCUGCCUCCUCUUCGUUUGUUGACCGAGGCCCAGUCCCCACCUCCACAGAUCUGGGCCUUUGGCCCAUGGUGAGCAGCACCCGAGCCCCUAUGCAAUGUUGGGCCGGCCUCUGUUUCGGCCCAUAGUUUUUUUUCCUUUGUGCGAUUUUAUCAUUUUCCAGAGACUGUGGUUUUUAAAGAAAAGCCCAUGUUCUUCAUGCAUUUAAUAACUUCACAACCGUGCAUCGGAUCUAAAUAAAUUAUAUAUGAAAGUUGCUUAUAAUUUUGUCUAGUUUAAUAAUAUGCAACUUUCAUCCAUGUUUGAAAUGUUUAAAAUGAUGUUUGAUUAAAUUUGCUCCUAUGUCAUGUUAAAAUGCUUUAAUUCAUAACUAAAUAACCGUAGCUCCAAACUUAAUUAACUUUAUAUGUAAAUGGGGUAUAAAAAUGCCUAGUUUAACAUGGUGACAUCACUUCGCAUGUUUAACAACCCUAAAAUUGUGUUUAGGGCAGAACAGUACCAAACCUAAUAUUUGCAUAUGGGGAUUUACCGGAAUUGUUGUUCGUUGCUUCUGGCCUCAUUUAAACUUGCCUAGGUAGAUAGUUUCAUUAUGCUUCACCUCUUGCCAUGCUAACAGCAUUUAAUCUUGUUGGGUACAUAACCGAGAGAGAACUAAAUUAAUGAAUGUGGUGUUUCGUCAAUAUGCAACUCGUUGCAUAUUGAUCU
Molecule: long non-coding RNA, 9529 nt
Filed under: Triticum aestivum (bread wheat)
Lineage: Eukaryota; Viridiplantae; Streptophyta; Magnoliopsida; Poales; Poaceae
Description: long non-coding RNA (TAES_LNC014600)
Source: RNAcentral